Molecule: non-coding RNA, 4483 nt
Organism: Rattus norvegicus (Norway rat)
Lineage: Eukaryota; Metazoa; Chordata; Mammalia; Rodentia; Muridae
Source: RefSeq, a predicted model, not a curated record
UAGGACUUGGGUAUUAAAGCCACACUCACAGUGACACACCCAUUCUGACAAGGCCACACCCACUCCAACAAGGCCACACCUACUCCAACAAGGCCACACCUACUCCAACAAGGCCACAUCUCCAAAUAGUGCCACUCCUUGGUCCAAGCACAUACAAACCAUCAUCACAUAGUCAUAAAGAAAAAUGUACUUUGCAGAAAAAAAAAAAACAACCAUGGCUAGAACUGGAGAUCACUGUGCCAACUAAGCUGGACUCAUCAAGACAGACAAGAACUAUAUGUUCUCUUUCAUAUGCAGAUCCCAGUUUUGAAUAUUGACCUGGACGUGAUUACUGGUUGUUUAUAAGAGGUGUUGUUAUGAAAGGUGAUGUCUGCCAUGCUGACCUGAGCAAUCAAUGGAGAAAGGAGAGACCAGGAGACAGGAGAUGGAAUACGGAACGGACUCAGGGAAGUUCUACAGAAAACAUCCACGUGAGCACUAUCCUUGAUGUUGAGGGGGUUGCAACGGGCGAAAACGGAGCAGAGAAAGGAAGUCUUGAACCAAAGUGUGAGCAUCCAUGUUCAUAAAGCAUCUGGAGCAGAGGGAAGUUUGGAAUCUAUGACUUGAAUGCUUUUAGGACUGAAAACAGAGACGAGUGAUCCCCUCACUCACUCACAGCUACCACGUGAAGUAACAAGGACUUUAAGAGCUCAACAUAAACCAGUUCGGAGGUGGUAAAUGUUCCCCACCAAAGGACAAUGAAGCCAGGCGACCUUCAGUUAGACCUCUCCUUUCCCCAAACACCUGCAAGUUGAAGGCCAGUAAUUACCAUACAAAGUCUGCUGGAGUUUAUCCCCAAACACUUCCGGACUGUUCCCUUUGUCCCCCCUCCCCCCUUUUCUGAAAAGUUGCCUGUCUGUGCCAGGUGGGGAUGCUUGUUUUGGGUCAAGUUUAUAUGCUGCUUUCAAGACCAACUCUCUCCACUUUAGCCUGAGACCAUCUUCUCCCACUGGGUCCCUGGGUUAUCUAUCAUGGUCACAAAAACAUGGCGAGCAGGUGAUGCUUGUUUAGGUUCAUGGAAGCUGUUGUAUAACACGAGGUGUUCCCUGAUAUCUGCACACUUUCGGGUACGUGGGAAUGAGUGGCUUCUAUUUCUGGUACCUGUGAUGGUUCGUAUAUGCUCGGCCCAGGGAGUGACACUAUUAGAAGGUGUGGCCCUGUUGGAGUAGGUGUGGCCUUGUUGGAGUAGGUGUGGCCUUGUUGGAGUGGGUGUGGCCUUGUUGGAGUGGGUGUGUCACUGUGGGUGUGGGCUUUAAGACCCUCAUCCUAGCUGCUGGAAGUCAGUAUUCUGCUAGCAGCCUUCAGAUGAAGAUGUAGAACUCUCAGCUCCUCCUGCACCAUGCCUGCCUGGAUGCUGCCAUGUUCCUGCCUUGAUGAUAAUGGACUGAACCUCUGAAACUGUAAGCCAGCCCCAAUUACAUGUUGUCCUUAUAAGAGUUGCUUUGGUCAUGGUGUCUGUUGACAGCAGUAAAGUCCUAACUAAGUCAGUGUCUUUAUGAACAGAUGCUGUGACAGUCUGAGUGACAACAGUCCCUAAAGACUCAGAUAUUUGUAUGCUUAGUCCCCAGCUGACCAACUGUUUGGGAAGGAUCAGGAAGCAUGACCUUGUUGGAGGAGGUGUGUCACUGGGGCAGACUUUAAGGUUUUGAAAAUCCACACCAGGCCUAGUGUCUCUCUCGACCUGCUGCCUGUGGAUCACGAUGUAAAAGAUGUAAGAUCUUCCAUGAUAAUAUAUUAACCCUCCAAAAUGGUAAGGAAGCCCUCAGUUUCUUCGGUAAGAGCUGCCUUGGUCCUGGUGUCUCAUCAUAGCGAUAGAUUCAUGACUGAGACAAGUACUCAGGAAGUUCCUAUGCUAAAGGCUUGACAAGGCCAUGUGAAAAGCAACAGGAAGAUGCAGAAUUGAACAUUUGAGGAGCAAUGGCCAGGGGAUAACAACUCCAAAUAUUUCAAAGGCGAAGAAAGCCAAGACAAACAAAACUGAAACCAAUCUGUCUCCAGAGUUCCGAAAGUGAACAAAACCCAGAAUGCCUUUAGAGACUCGAAAGCAAGCGAACAAAUAAAAACCAAACAAGAAGACCAAAAUUCUUAAAACAAGCAAACUAGAUGUUGUGGUAAAACUAGAAACCAGUUUCUUUUAUCCCAAGCCAGUGCUGGCACCUCAUAUAGGGCCACAUGGCAUCUGUGGGAUAUUUUCAUCUCAGUCGGCAUAGUGUCUCACCCGCUAAGCUCCAUCCCAUCCCACACUGCUACUCUCUGAGCCCGGCAACAAUCUCUCUACCCAUCUAGUUCCCAAGUCGCUGCCAUGCCAGUUUCAUACAAAGACCGCCUAUCUCGUGGCUCUCUUACUGUGGACUCAAUUAAGUCGCCACUUGAAAGAGCACAGCAUACAAUAUCCUCUGAUCCAACUGAUGAGAUUCCUGACUCCGCCUUCCGUCUUGGGAUCUCGUAAAGUGUCCUUCCACUCCCCAUAAGGCCUUCCUCUGGUCAGCUCUGUAUCUACUUCUGGGGAAACGUCCCUGAACCAUGUCAUUUCAUUUAGGCUCCUAUACUCUCAGUCUCUGAAGGCACAGAUGCAAGUGUGUAAAAGAAAACGAACCGUGAGCGCGGCUGCUGCAGCUAGCCAAUCAGAGAAUGAGCUGUGCUGCUGUGGCUAGCCAAUCAGAGAGAGCAGCGCUGCUGCGGCUAGCCAAUCAGAGAAUGAGCUGUGCAUGGACGUCCUACCCCCGAGAAAUGAUGAAUGGUGGGUAUAGUGGCUAUUCCUGGUUGUCAACUUGACUGUAUCUGGAGUGAACCACAAUCCAGAAUUGGAAGGCUCACUUUUGAUCCUGAUCUUGAGACUGGGAGAUACAAGUUUCUGACCUGGAUUUGGUAUGGAGAUGGUGAGAUAAAGUGGCUAUGAAUCCCAGGAGCUUAAGGCAAGGAGAUCUGAGUUCUAGGUCACCUGGGAAAAGCAAGUCCCAGAUACAAGCGUGGCGGUACACACCCUUAAUCUGGGACACACCUUCUGCUGGAGACUUACAGAAAGACACUGGGAGAAGGAUGAGUCUCUUUUUCACCUGCCUGCCUGCCUGCCUUGUGGGACUGAGCCACUGCUAGAUCCUUGGAUUUCUAUUCACAGCUACUGAUCGUUGUUGGAGAGUUGAGACUACAGACUGAGAUUUCUGCUGCUUCCUGAUGGAAAAUACAAACAAAAUCGAAAUGAAAGACACAACCAUGUGUAUCCUGGGGGUUGAUUGUCAUUUUCAUUGUUUGAAAAAAAUAGAUGAGUGAAUCCAGAGAGGCUGUCUCCAGGCAUAGCAAGCCCUGGUUCUAGCUCUCUCCCGCCUCAAACACCCUCAAAAUAAUAUGCAGAUUAACUUGCCCAAGGAAAUGGAGUUUUUGAAAUCUUGUUUGGAUACCCGCCAGUGUUAACAUCUGAACGCCUCCCAUCAGCGAGAAAGCAACUAGGAAACACACAGAAAUUCUCACUGGUACGAGAAGGAGAGGGGAAAGAGGCACGACCCAGCGGUGCCUUAAUAGGCUAAAACAAUAAGAGGAGUGAGCCGGACCUCUUUCCAACGUUAGGAAAACGCACAAGAUGUUACUGAAUGGGAAAAGCAAAUUGUACAAAAAUACAGGUAAUUCUAUUAGCAGCAGACACACACACACACACACACACACACACACACACACAACUCUAUUAUAACUCUUCCACAGGAACAUACACAAAAAAAAUUCCACAAGGGCACAAAACAGUGCAAAGCUUCCAUUUUUAGGGUAAUGCAACAGCCUCCAGUGAGGGCACGGAUUGUGAUCAAAUUGGAAAUCAGCCCUAAGACCUUUGAAUUUUUUUUUUAUAAGGAAAGCUAUUUUCUCAAAUUACAUCCAAAGCACCUCACUACUGCUUGACACCAAAGAUGUGACCAGCAAGUAGAAGUUGAUUUAUUUUUUAAGGUGCUGAUUUAAUCAGAUUUAAAGGUGUUAAAACAUUGUUCACAUUAGCACAUAUGUCAAAGAUAUGUGUCGAGAGAGAGGUUGCCUUUGUCCAUUUGUACACUUCUGAGCUAGACGGGGAACUGGGAGGAGAAAAGGUUUCCACUAGGCAAAGACGCUGUCUUGAGGCUGUCAGCCAGAGCAAAGUCCCACAGCCCGCAGCCCACCCAUAGCCUGCAGCCCGAAUGAAACAUGUCGGACCUUCCCUGCCUCUCAGUUGGACAUCCAGAACAAGUGUUUUAACCACUCCAGUCACUCCCUGUAGAAGACAUUAUGACCUCUCCAUGGCACAGAAAGUUACACGUGUUACUCUUGGAAGUGCAUGGGGGCUCACAGUCACACAAUUUGAUAAUUGAGAAAUCCAAUUGGCAGUCUCUGAAGUGGGAAAAUGGAUUUGAACAGAGAUGGAAUUUGGGCAAAGGCUUUCAGGCAGCCUGAUCAAUAACUCUAACAGGUCAGACUGAAUACAGGC